Molecule: ribosomal RNA, 440 nt
Filed under: uncultured bacterium
Lineage: Bacteria
Description: partial 16S ribosomal RNA
Rfam family: Bacterial small subunit ribosomal RNA
Source: RNAcentral
GCUACGGGAGGCAGCAGUGGGGAAUAUUGCACAAUGGGGGAAACCCUGAUGCAGCGACGCCGCGUGAGUGAAGAAGUAUUUCGGUAUGUAAAGCUCUAUCAGCAGGGAAGAUAAUGACGGUACCUGACUAAGAAGCCCCGGCUAACUACGUGCCAGCAGCCGCGGUAAGACGUAGGGGGCAAGCGUAAUCCGGAUUUACUGGGUGUAAAGGGAGCGUAGGGGGCAGGGCCAGUCAGAUGUGAAAACCCGGGGCCCCACCCCGGGAGUGCAUUUGAAACGGUCCAGCUGGAGUGCAGGCUCGGUAAGCGGCCUUCCUAGUGUAGCGUUGAAAUGCAUAGAUAUUAGGAGGAGCCCCAGUGGCGAAGGCGGCUUACUGGACUGUACCUGACACUGAGGCUCGACCGCGUGGGGAGCAAACAGGAUUAGAUACCCCUGUAGUC